GACGAACGCUGGCGGCGUGCCUAACACAUGCAAGUCGAGCGGGGUGGUUCUGAAGGGCAACCGGAGGGAUCACCUAGCGGCGAACGGGUGAGUAACGCGUGGAUAACCUACCUCAAGGUCUGGGAUAACAGCUCGAAAGGGCUGCUAAUACCGGAUGUGGUGCAUAUGCUGCAUGGUAGAUGCACUAAAGGGGAAACCCGCCAUGAGAUGGGUCCGCGUCCCAUCAGCUAGUUGGUGGGGUAAAGGCCUACCAAGGCGACGACGGGUAGCCGGCCUGAGAGGGUGACCGGCCACACUGGGACUGAGACACGGCCCAGACUCCUACGGGGGGCAGCAGUGGGGAAUAUUGCACAAUGGGCGAAAGCCUGAUGCAGCGACGCCGCGUGGGCGAAGAAGGCCUCGGGUUGUAAGCCUGUCUGGAGGGACGAAGUAAUGACGGUACCUCCGGAGGAAGCCACGGCUAACUAACGUG
Molecule: ribosomal RNA, 472 nt
Filed under: uncultured bacterium
Lineage: Bacteria
Description: bacterial SSU rRNA
Rfam family: Bacterial small subunit ribosomal RNA
Source: RNAcentral